Molecule: long non-coding RNA, 1073 nt
Organism: Myripristis murdjan (pinecone soldierfish)
Lineage: Eukaryota; Metazoa; Chordata; Actinopteri; Holocentriformes; Holocentridae
Exons: 4
Source: RefSeq, a predicted model, not a curated record
AUAGUCUCUUCCUCCUCCCCUUCCCCCUCCUUUUCGCUUGCUCCACACCAGGUGUGGGUCAUCUCGCGGCACUAAUUGCGGGGUGGAGCCGCUAGCCUUUUAACUGCUCCGGUGUGUGUGUUUGCUCAGUGUGCUACCUUGUCUCCCGCGGGGCUGGCGUCCGUGUGUGUGUCGGCGUUCCAUGUGCUUUGAACCGUGUGGCGGUUGGCGUUGCUGAUUUCGCCAGGUCUUCUCCUCUCCGAAAAUUUGAGGCUGUCGGCUGGCUGCGGCUGUGUGGGACUGGAGGUCGUCUACGCUGUUGUUCGCUCUCUCCAGCAGCGUUAACUGCGGCCUGCUGCUCUCCCUCUCCUCCCCGGCGGAGACGCUGUGCCUGUGCUCUGUGCUCUGUGGCACGUUUUGGCCUGGCUGUGCGCUGCGGUGCUCCACUCUCCGGCGGUCAACGCUCUGGUGCACCGGGACUCUACUGCUGUCUUGUUUGGGCUGUCUUGUUUGGGCUUGUCUUGUAUUGCUGUGUAUGCUGCCUUGUCAAUUAGUUCAUCUAUUGUCUUGUAUGCCGCAUGUUUUGCACAGCCGCAUUUAUAUUGUUGGCUCCCACUGUGGCCGCAAUUACGCCACUGUUUGUUUUACCCUGUUUGUUAUCGCCAGUGACUACUAUAAGUGCCGUGCUGUGAUUGGCUGAUCUCCCGCACCAUUGUACGCGGGGACGAACUGCAAUUGGCCCACUUUUGGGUCAGUCCCAGUAAACCCUGAUUUAUUUUAUUUAUUUACUUGGUGUUGUAUAUUAUGAAUAUUGUGUUUUGAGUUUAUUAUAAUUUGCUCUGCUUUAUUUUUGUUUUCUUUCAUAAUGUUUUUGUGUGCUUAUGUUUGGUUUGUGUGAGGUUUAAGUGUGUUUAAUUCAUUGUUUAUUCCUUUGGUUGUUUUGAGUUUUUUUCUUUAUUGUAAUUGCUUUGAUUUCCUAUGCAUACUGGUACUGGUGACCCUAAGUGAUAUUGUUGUAGUGGCCGUAUUACAGUAUUUGAAAAGACCUGUCACUGUUUGUAUUCUACCUUGUUAAUAUUAUAAAAAUAAAUCUA